AUAUUACUAAGCGGAGGAAAAGAAACCAACUGGGAUUCCCUCAGUAGCGGCGAGUGAACAGGGACAAGCUCACACUGAAGCGGCCCGGGAAAACCGGCACCGCGUUGUGGUGUAAGGAUUCAGGGUUCCAUCCCUGCUCAUCAUACCUAACCUUGUGUCGAAGCAACACAAUGCGUACAGCAACAUAGUGGGUGAUAUUCCCCAAAGGUAUGGUGGGCUAGGUAUAUGUGUUCCCGGUCUCCGACGAGUAGGUCUAUUUUGGAGUAUAGACUGAAGCAGGGAGGUAGAUACCUUCCAAAGCUAAAUACUGAGCUAGGAUUCCGAUAGCAAACAAGUACCGCAAGGGAAAGUUGAAAAGCACUCUGAAGAGAGAGUGAAACAGCACGUGAAAUCAUUAUGAGUCAAUCGUGCACUGGAGCUCGUAGAAGACCUGGCCAGUUCAGGGUCGUGUCAACCUUCCUCGGGGGGAACACGGCUUGUAUUUCUGGUUAGGUCAACACUCCAGGCUCGACCCCAAUCCUAUUAAGGCUUCUUAUGUUGCGAGUCCUUGUGGCUCGGGCAUAGGUUUGAUUAAGGAGGAGCUAAAGGGUCGAGAGCCGAUUUCCAUCCUCUCGCGGGUCCUCGGGCCUAGCUAG
This 635-nucleotide ribosomal RNA is filed under the name uncultured fungus. RNAcentral describes it as "eukaryotic LSU rRNA". It matches the Rfam family "Eukaryotic large subunit ribosomal RNA", at positions 40 to 631 of the family's 3401-position model. Lineage: Eukaryota; Fungi. The record is from RNAcentral.